Molecule: ribosomal RNA, 490 nt
Filed under: uncultured bacterium
Lineage: Bacteria
Description: partial 16S ribosomal RNA
Rfam family: Bacterial small subunit ribosomal RNA
Source: RNAcentral
GAUGAACGCUAGCUACAGGCUUAACACAUGCAAGUCGCGGGGCAGCAUGGGGGUUGCUUGCAAUCCCCGAUGGCGACCGGCGCACGGGUGAGUAACGCGUAUCCAACCUGCCCUUCACCACGGGAUAACCCGGCGAAAGUCGGACUAAUACCGUAUGUUGUCCAUUGACGGCAUCCGAUUUGGACGAAAGGCUUGGCGGUGAGGGAUGGGGAUGCGUCCGAUUAGCCAGACGGCGGGGUAACGGCCCACCGUGGCUACGAUCGGUAGGGGUUCUGAGAGGAAGGUCCCCCACACUGGAACUGAGACACGGUCCAGACUCCUACGGGAGGCAGCAGUGAGGAAUAUUGGUCAAUGGGCGUAAGCCUGAACCAGCCAAGUAGCGUGCAGGAUGACGGCCCUAUGGGUUGUAAACUGCUUUUAUGCGGGGAUAAAGUGGCCCACGUGUGGGCUUUUGCAGGUACCGCAUGAAUAAGGAUCGGCUAAUUCCGUG